AAAGGAAUUGACGGGGACCCGCACAAGCGGUGGAGCAUGUGCUUUAAUUCGAUGCAACGCGAAGAACCUUACCCGGUCUUGACAUAGUUUUGACCAUCAUAGAGAUAUGAUUUUCAGCAAUGACAAAACAUACAGAUGCUGCAUGGUUGUCGUCAGCUCGUGUCGUGAGAUGUUGGGUUAAGUCCCGCAACGAGCGCAACCCUUGCCGAUAGUUGCUAACAUUCAGUUGAGAACUCUAUCGGGACUGCUUUCGCAAGGAAGAGGAAGGUGGGGAUGACGUCAAAUCAUCAUGGCUCUUACGACCGGGGCUAGACACGUGCUACAAUGGUAACUACAAUGGGUCGCUACUUAGCAAUAAGAUGCCAAUCUCAAAAAAGUUAUCUCAGUUCGGAUUGAGGUCUGCAACUCGACCUCAUGAAGUUGGAAUCGCUAGUAAUCGUAGGUCAGCAUACUACGGUGAAUACGUUCCCGGGUCUUGUACACACCGCCCGU
RNAcentral lists this ribosomal RNA (492 nucleotides) under uncultured bacterium. RNAcentral describes it as "bacterial SSU rRNA". It matches the Rfam family "Bacterial small subunit ribosomal RNA", at positions 903 to 1397 of the family's 1533-position model. The record is from RNAcentral.